AGGCUACCGCUAUUGGAGUUCGAUUAAGCCAUGCGAGUCGAGAGUCUUCAAGGACUCGGCGUACCGCUCAGUAACACGUGGGUAACCUGCCCUAUGCUGGGGAAUAACCUCGGGAAACUGAGAAUAAUGCCCCAUAGCCCACUACGCCUGGAACGGUGAGUGGGUAAAAGCUCCGGCGGCAUAGGAUGGGCCUGCGCCGUAUCAGGUUGUAGGGGGUGUAAAGUACCCUCUAGCCAUCAACGCGUACGGGUGUUGGGAGACAUUGCCCGGAGAUGGAUUCUGAGACACGAAUCCAGACCCUACGGGGUGCAGCAGGCGCGAAAACUUGGCAAUGCGAGCAAUCGUGACCAGGGAACUCCAAGUGCGUAGGGUAAGACCUACGCUUUUCUUGACUCUUCAAAGGUCUUGGAAUAAGGGGUGGGUAAGGACGGUGCCAGCCGCCGCGGUAAUACCGGCGCCUCAAGUGGUAGUCGCUUUUAUUGGGCCUAAAACGUCCGUAGCCGGUCUGGUACAUUCGUGGGUAAAUCAACCCGCUCAACGGGUUGAAUUCUGCGAGCACGGCCAGACUUGGGACCGGGAGAGGUGUGGGGUACUCUCAGGGUAGGGGUAAAAUCCUGUCAUCCUGAGAGGACCACCUGUUGCGAAGGCGCCACACUAGAACGGAUCCGACGGUCAGGGACGAAACCUAGGGGCACGAACCGGAUUAGAUACCCGGGUAGUCCUAGGUGUAAACGCUGUGGACUUGAUGUUGGGGGCGCUCCGAGCGCUCUCAGUGUCGAAGCGAAGGUGAUAAGUCCACUGCCUGGGGAGUACGGUCGCAAGGCUGAAACUUAAAGGAAUUGGCGGGGGAGCACUGCA
This 858-nucleotide ribosomal RNA is filed under the name uncultured archaeon. RNAcentral describes it as "bacterial SSU rRNA". It matches the Rfam family "Archaeal small subunit ribosomal RNA", at positions 21 to 883 of the family's 1478-position model. The record is from RNAcentral.